RNAcentral lists this ribosomal RNA (696 nucleotides) under uncultured bacterium. RNAcentral describes it as "bacterial SSU rRNA". The stretch from base 1 to 542 matches the Rfam family "Bacterial small subunit ribosomal RNA", at positions 338 to 873 of the family's 1533-position model. The record is from RNAcentral.
CCUACGGGAGGCAGCAGUGGGGAAUUUUGGACAAUGGGCGAAAGCCUGAUCCAGCAAUGCCGCGUGAGUGAAGAAGGCCUUCGGGUUGUAAAGCUCUUUUGUCAGGGAAGAAACGGUGGGAGCUAAUAUCUCCUGCUAAUGACGGUACCUGAAGAAUAAGCACCGGCUAACUACGUGCCAGCAGCCGCGGUAAUACGUAGGGUGCAAGCGUUAAUCGGAAUUACUGGGCGUAAAGCGUGCGCAGGCGGUUUUGUAAGUCUGAUGUGAAAUCCCCGGGCUCAACCUGGGAAUUGCAUUGGAGACUGCAAGGCUAGAAUCUGGCAGAGGGGGGUAGAAUUCCACGUGUAGCAGUGAAAUGCGUAGAUAUGUGGAGGAACACCGAUGGCGAAGGCAGCCCCCUGGGUCAAGAUUGACGCUCAUGCACGAACGACGGUGGGGACGGACGAACGAGUAGUAGUACCGUACCGGUACGUACCGACCGUAACCCGUAACGUACGUCGUACUACGUUAGUUCGGUUCGGUUACGUUAGUUACGUUACGUUACGGUACGUACGACGUACGUACCGUCGUAGUAAGGUAACGGACCGGUCCGGGUACGGGGUACGGGUUACGGUCGACGAAGUAAACGUUAAACGUAACGAAAGUAAGUUAGGACGGUGUAGAGACGACGACGACGACGACGACGGAGGGAGGAGG